Molecule: ribosomal RNA, 937 nt
Filed under: Coolia canariensis
Lineage: Eukaryota; Dinophyceae; Peridiniales; Ostreopsidaceae
Description: partial large subunit ribosomal RNA
Rfam family: Eukaryotic large subunit ribosomal RNA
Source: RNAcentral
AUUAAGCAUAUGAGUAGGUGGUGGAAAACGAACUAACUGGGAUUCUUCAAGUAAUGGCGAAUGAACUUAGAUAUGCUCAAUUUGAAAAGUUCAGUGACACUGAGUUGACAUGUAAUUUCAAAAUGUGUAACCAAUUGGCAUGCGCGUGGAAGCUCAUUGAAAGAAUGCGUCGAUGAAGGUGAAAAUCCAGCCUACCACUUGUAAUGUGUUGUUAAUGGUGUAUAUUUCAUGAGUCACAUUCCUUGGCAGUGGAAUGCAAUAUGGGUGGUACACUUCAUGCAAAGAUUAAUAUAUGGUUGAGAUUGAUAAUGCACAAAUACCGUGAGGGAAAUAUGAAAAGGACUUUGGAAAGAGAAUUAAAAGAGUUUGCAGUUGCUGAACAAAAACAAAUAGGAUGUUGGUGGUUAAUCAGAUUGUUGUGGCGUGUGCUGCUUCAAUUGUAAGCAUGUGCGCAAUCAAUGAUUCUAUUUUGCCAACCAUAUCAUUCUCUGUGCAUCAUGGCAUGAACGGGUGACGAGUGUUUUUUGUGCGCCACUGUCAACACCUGUGUGCAAAUGGUAUAGCAAGUGUGCACUGCAUUUGGACGUCGUAUGUUGCUUGUGUCAAGUCGUAGUUGGAUGACCAUUUGUGCUGAGCUGUGAUCUACCUUCUGCAUGUGUAUGCUGUUGAUCAUAUCCUGAUUGACCCGUCUUGAAACACGGACCAAGGAGUCUAAUAGAUGUGCUAGCUCUCAAAUUCUUAUCUUGUUGGAUCCAAUGAAAUUAGCUGCUGGGAUAUGUGCACCAGCAACCAAGUGAUUGGUGGUCAAAGCCUUGCGUUUGAGCAUACGUGUUAGGACCCGAAAGAUGGUGAACUAUGCCUGAAGAGAAUGAAUUCAGAGGAAACUCUGACGGAAGUUCGCAUCAAUACUGACGUGCAAAUCGUUUGUCAUACCUUG